CCUACGGGGGGCAGCAGUGGGGAAUCUUGCGCAAUGGGCGAAAGCCUGACGCAGCAACGCCGCGUGCGGGAUGAAGGCCUUCGGGUUGUAAACCGCUUUCAGCAGGGACGAAUUUUGACGGUACCUGCAGAAGAAGCCCCGGCCAACUACGUGCCAGCAGCCGCGGUAACACGUAGGGGGCGAGCGUUGUCCGGAUUUAUUGGGCGUAAAGAGCUCGUAGGCGGCUCGGUAAGUCAACUGUGAAAGCUCCGGGCUCAACUCGGAGAGGCCAGUUG
RNAcentral lists this ribosomal RNA (275 nucleotides) under uncultured bacterium. RNAcentral's name for it is "partial 16S ribosomal RNA". It matches the Rfam family "Bacterial small subunit ribosomal RNA", at positions 338 to 629 of the family's 1533-position model. The record is from RNAcentral.